RNAcentral lists this ribosomal RNA (550 nucleotides) under Anisotremus aff. scapularis JT-2018. RNAcentral describes it as "partial 16S ribosomal RNA". It matches the Rfam family "Bacterial large subunit ribosomal RNA", at positions 1858 to 2604 of the family's 2925-position model. The record is from RNAcentral. Lineage: Eukaryota; Metazoa; Chordata; Actinopteri; Lutjaniformes; Haemulidae.
CCUGCCCUGUGACUAUAAUGUUUAACGGCCGCGGUAUUUUGACCGUGCGAAGGUAGCGCAAUCACUUGUCUUUUAAAUAGGGACCUGUAUGAAUGGCAUAACGAGGGCUUAACUGUCUCCUUUUUCAAGUCAAUGAAAUUGAUCUCCCCGUGCAGAAGCGGGGAUAAACACAUAAGACGAGAAGACCCUGUGGAGCUUUAGACGCCAGGGCAGAUCAUGUUAAGCACCCCUAAACAUAGACCCAAACUAAAUGAAACCUGCCCCCAUGUCUUCGGUUGGGGCGACCAUGGGGUAAAAAAAACCCCCCACGCAGAAAGGGAGUACUAUUGCUCCUAAAACCGAGAGCUUCCGCUCUAACAAACAGAAUCUCUGACCUAAAGAUCCGGCCAAGCCGAUCAACGGACCAAGUUACCCCAGGGAUAACAGCGCAAUCCUCUUUUAGAGCCCAUAUCGACAAGAGGGUUUACGACCUCGAUGUUGGAUCAGGACAUCCUAAUGGUGCAGCCGCUAUUAAGGGUUCGUUUGUUCAACGAUUAAAGUCCUACGUGAU